Molecule: ribosomal RNA, 452 nt
Filed under: uncultured bacterium
Lineage: Bacteria
Description: bacterial SSU rRNA
Rfam family: Bacterial small subunit ribosomal RNA
Source: RNAcentral
GAACGGUAGCACAGAGAGCUUGCUCUCGGGUGACGAGUGGCGGACGGGUGAGUAAUGUCUGGGAAACUGCCCGAUGGAGGGGGAUAACUACUGGAAACGGUAGCUAAUACCGCAUAACGUCUUCGGACCAAAGUGGGGGACCUUCGGGCCUCACACCAUCGGAUGUGCCCAGAUGGGAUUAGCUAGUAGGUGGGGUAAUGGCUCACCUAGGCGACGAUCCCUAGCUGGUCUGAGAGGAUGACCAGCCACACUGGAACUGAGACACGGUCCAGACUCCUACGGGAGGCAGCAGUGGGGAAUAUUGCACAAUGGGCGCAAGCCUGAUGCAGCCAUGCCGCGUGUAUGAAGAAGGCCUUCGGAUUGUAAAGUACUUUCAGCGGGGAGGAAGGCGAUGAGGUUAAUAACCUUAUCGAUUGACGUUACCCGCAGAAGAAGCACCGGCUAACUCCGUG